Molecule: ribosomal RNA, 388 nt
Filed under: uncultured eukaryote
Lineage: Eukaryota
Description: SSU rRNA
Rfam family: Eukaryotic small subunit ribosomal RNA
Source: RNAcentral
CCAGCAGCCGCGGUAAUUCCAGCUCCAAUAGCGUAUAUUAAAGUUGUUGCAGUUAAAAAGCUCGUAGUUGGACCUCGGGGAGAGGCGCAUGGUCCGCCGAAAGGUGUGCACUAGGCGGCUCUCUCCUCCUUCUGUAGACCAUGUCUGUCCUUAGUUGGGUGGGCAUUGGGAUGCAGGACAUUUACUUUGAAUAAAUUAGAGUGUUCAAAGCAGGCGAUUGCUUGAAUACGUUAGCAUGGAAUAAUGAAAUAGGACUUUGGUUCUAUUUUGUUGGUUUCUAGGACCGAAGUAAUGAUUAAUAGGGAUAGUUGGGGGCAUUAAUAUUUAAUUGUCAGAGGUGAAAUUCUUGGAUUUAUGAAAGAUUAACUUCUGCGAAAGCAUUUGCCAA